Microcebus murinus (gray mouse lemur) is the source of this 779-nucleotide non-coding RNA. NCBI's taxonomy places the organism in Eukaryota, Metazoa, Chordata, Mammalia, Primates, Cheirogaleidae. The record is from RefSeq and is a predicted model, not a curated record.
CCUCCCUUCAGCCGCUGUCGCUUCAGGCGCCGCUGCUCCUGGAGGAGCUCCCGGCUCGAUGAUGGGGUCUCGGGCUUCUACGUUACUGCGGGACGAAGAGCUUGAGGAGAUCAAGAAGGAGACAGGCUUUUCCCACAGUCAAAUCACUCGCCUCUACAGCCGGUUCACCAGCCCGGACAAAGGAGAGAACGGGACUCUCAGCCGGGAAGAUUUCCAGAGGAUUCCAGAACUUGCCAUCAACCCACUGGGGGACCGAAUCAUCAAUGCCUUCUUUCCAGAGGGAGAGAACCAGGUAAACUUCCGUGGAUUCAUGAGAACUUUGGCUCAUUUCCGACCCAUUGAGGAUAAUGAAAAGAGCAAAAAUGUGAAUGGACCAGAACCACUCAACAGCCGAAGCAACAAACUGCACUUUGCUUUUCGACUAUAUGAUUUGGAUAAAGAUGACAGGAUAUCCCGUGAUGAGCUGUUACAGGUGUUACGCAUGAUGGUUGGAGUGAAUAUCUCAGAUGAACAGCUGGGCAGCAUCGCAGACAGGACCAUUCAGGAGGCUGAUCAGGAUGGGGACAGUGCCAUAUCUUUCACAGAAUUUGUUAAGGUUUUGGAGAAGGUGGACGUAGAGCAGAAAAUGAGCAUCCGAUUUCUUCACUAAGGGAUAGAAACCAAACUGUUCAUUACUUUCUAGUAUUUAAGAACUGGAACUUGAGAGUCCUCCCAUCCACCAGCCCCACCUCCACCCCGUUAUUCCCCUUCUCCCAGAGUACUACUGCUGUUGCAUGACA